AAGAAGAUACCUACAUUUGUAGCAACAAUACUAAAUAAUACAUAUCUACAAGAAAAAAAAAACAAAAGGUCUACGAUAUUAUAUGAAAUAUAAGAUAUUUACAUAAGUUAAAAUGGACUUUGAGUAAAUAUUUGCAUAUGAACAUGCAGUUUAUAAGCAAAGGCAUUCAAGUCAAAUUGCACGAGCCAAGAGAGAAAUCAAUUUCUUUUCAUAUAAGGAGACUGCAGACAUAUAGACACAGGAGUAAAAAAAGAAGAAUGAGAAGAGGUGUCAAGCGGCUGAUGUUUAACCACAGUGGCGGCACGACUUUUUAUACCACCUGCCGAGACGCCGCCUUGGAUUUUCAAUCUCAUUGAACCGCUUGCGGGGAGAGGAUCGCCGAAACAAAAGAAUCGUCAGUAGUAGCAGAAAGAGGCGAGAACAAUAUAUAGAGAA
Harpegnathos saltator (Jerdon's jumping ant) is the source of this 435-nucleotide long non-coding RNA. RefSeq lists it as uncharacterized. The transcript is spliced from 4 exons. The record is from RefSeq and is a predicted model, not a curated record. Lineage: Eukaryota; Metazoa; Arthropoda; Insecta; Hymenoptera; Formicidae.